AGUAUCCGAAAUUAUCCGAAUCCGACCGAAGCGGCGAGACAGGGAAACCACAGAUUUAAGUGAUUCGGCCCUACAUGGGAUGACACCUUGACUUCGCGGAGUCAGAGACAGUACAAGCGACGAAUCGACGCCGCAGUCGAACGGAGGAAUGGUAACGCGGCUUACUUCUGGGGAUAUUUUUCUACCUUCCGUUGAUCUGGGGAUAUGAAAGUUUCCCGCAAUUACCAAUUAAUCCCUACAAAAAGUCGUACCGUAUCAAACGAACCAAUGACUGUAGGUAACUCCUCGCCCGACAAGAUCCCAUAAGUAUAUCAUGCAGAUGGAUUGACGUAAUUGAGAAGAAUAUUGCGACUGUAGCCAAGAGAUUAUAAAAUGAACCCAAAUAAAUGGAGCUGCUUAUUUUUGAGAUUGAAAAGAUACAGAUAGUGGUCGGCGGGGUAAUACGGGGGCGGGGGCAAAACAGGACAGACGUCAAAUUACGUAAGACAAUGCAUCAAUAAUGAAAGAGUAAGCAACGUUUAGUGUCUUUCACCGGCCGCCACAAAUCGCCGAGUCGCAUUAUAAAUCAUGGACACGCUCCUGCCGUUACACAAAAUUACGAAAAUUUAUCGUUUUUUCUAUAAUGUUCCCUCUAAAUAGUUUAUGUAACAUUGAUGUAAUAUUUUAACAUAAUAAUUUGAACAUAGGUGUUAAUGUCAGCAGAAAUUAGUGCAUCAGCAAGUGAGAACAUGAUUUUUCAAUUACCGCGUGUAUUUCUGUCACAAUUCUUGUUUUUAUUUUAAAUUAGCUGCUGGGGCAAGUCGGGACAAUGCUAUAACCGAUACCCCAUCUUGAACCAUGCCAUAUUCGUAGACCAAAUACAGAGAUACCGUGAAUUUGUAUCCAUUUGUCUGUAUGUCACUGUAUACUAAAUAUUAUACUAAAUAUUGAAUACCUCUUGUUUUAGGAUGGUGAGAAACUAUCCCCACUAGCGUUUCCCAUAUUGCCCUACAGAGCCAGUCUAGUCGGGUUAAACCAUGUAUAUGUCCUUCUUCGAUUUUUUAAUUUUUAGAAUGAAUAUUGAUCUAACCUUGAAUGCCAAUUGUACGACUGAUUGCCAAAGAUAACAUAUCUAAUUAAUACAAUAUUUAAAUUGU
This 1136-nucleotide long non-coding RNA is filed under the name Neodiprion pinetum (white pine sawfly). RNAcentral describes it as "uncharacterized LOC124220668". Lineage: Eukaryota; Metazoa; Arthropoda; Insecta; Hymenoptera; Diprionidae. The record is from RNAcentral.